RNAcentral lists this long non-coding RNA (223 nucleotides) under Elaeis guineensis (African oil palm). RNAcentral's name for it is "long non-coding RNA (EGUI_LNC081941)". The record is from RNAcentral. Lineage: Eukaryota; Viridiplantae; Streptophyta; Magnoliopsida; Arecales; Arecaceae.
UCUUCUGUUCAUGUGGGGUUGUCGUUUGCCGAGCUCCUUUUUGGCUUUUAUGCCGUUCGAGGAUACCCAAUUGUCAUUCCGUUGAUGGUUGCAGGUUUGCUUGGGGCCCUUCGGGCCCGAGAUUCCUCCUAGGGCUUGAAUUCGGGGAUUCGAGCUUCCGUUGCCUUCGGGCAUUAUUUGCUUUCAUUUUUGCUUGGAUUUUUCUCCGCUGAAGUCGGAGUUA